GAUGAACGCUAGCUACAGGCUUAACACAUGCAAGUCGAGGGGCAGCAUGGUCUUAGCUUGCUAAGGCCGAUGGCGACCGGCGCACGGGUGAGUAACACGUAUCCAACCUGCCGUCUACUCUUGGACAGCCUUCUGAAAGGAAGAUUAAUACAAGAUGGCAUCAUGAGUUCACAUGUUCACAUGAUUAAAGGUAUUCCGGUAGACGAUGGGGAUGCGUUCCAUUAGAUAGUAGGCGGGGUAACGGCCCACCUAGUCUUCGAUGGAUAGGGGUUCUGAGAGGAAGGUCCCCCACAUUGGAACUGAGACACGGUCCAUACUCCUACGGGAGGCAGCAGUGAGGAAUAUUGGUCAAUGGGCGAGAGCCUGAACCAGCCAAGUAGCGUGAAGGAUGACUGCCCUAUGGGUUGUAAACUUCUUUUAUAAAGGAAUAAAGUCGGGUAUGUAUACCCGUUUGCAUGUACUUUAUGAAUAAGGAUCGGCUAACUCCGUG
RNAcentral lists this ribosomal RNA (490 nucleotides) under uncultured bacterium. Its description in RNAcentral is "partial 16S ribosomal RNA". It matches the Rfam family "Bacterial small subunit ribosomal RNA", at positions 28 to 507 of the family's 1533-position model. The record is from RNAcentral.